AGAGUUUGAUCAUGGCUCAGGACGAACGCUUGCGGCGUGCCUAAGAAAUGCAAGUCGAGCGGGGGCUUCGGCCCUAGCGGCGAACGGUCGCGUAACACGUAAGCAACCUGCCUCCAAGACCGGGACAACAUCUCGAAAGGGGUGCUAAUACCGGAUGUGCCCACAGGCUGAUGGUCUGUGUGUAAAGCGAGCAAUCGGCUUGGGGAGGGGCUUGCGGCCUAUCAGGUAGUUGGUGGGGUAACGGCCUACCAAGCCUACGACGGGUAGCUGGUCUGAGAGGAUGGUCAGCCGGACUGGGACUGAGAUACGGCCCAGACUCCUACGGGGGGCAGCAAUUAGGAAUCUUGUGCAAUGGGGGCAACCCUGACACAGCGACGCCGCGUGGGGGAGGAAGGCCUUCGGGUCGUAAACCCCUUUUGGCAGGGAAGAAACAAAUGACGGUACCUGCCGAAUAAGCCACGGCUAACUCCGUGCCAGCCGCCGCGGUAAUUC
RNAcentral lists this ribosomal RNA (492 nucleotides) under uncultured bacterium. Its description in RNAcentral is "bacterial SSU rRNA". It matches the Rfam family "Bacterial small subunit ribosomal RNA", at positions 8 to 526 of the family's 1533-position model. The record is from RNAcentral.